This 492-nucleotide ribosomal RNA is filed under the name uncultured bacterium. RNAcentral describes it as "partial 16S ribosomal RNA". It matches the Rfam family "Bacterial small subunit ribosomal RNA", at positions 29 to 507 of the family's 1533-position model. The record is from RNAcentral.
AGUGAACGCUGGCGGUAGGCCUAACACAUGCAAGUCGAACGGCAGCACAGUAAGAGCUUGCUCUUACGGGUGGCGAGUGGCGGACGGGUGAGGAAUACAUCGGAAUCUACUUUUUCGUGGGGGAUAACGUAGGGAAACUUACGCUAAUACCGCAUACGACCUACGGGCGAAAGCAGGGGAUCUUCGGACCUUGCGCGAUUGAAUGAGCCGAUGUCGGAUUAGCUAGUUGGCGGGGUAAAGGCCCACCAAGGCGACGAUCCGUAGCUGGUCUGAGAGGAUGAUCAGCCACACUGGAACUGAGACACGGUCCAGACUCCUACGGGAGGCAGCAGUGGGGAAUAUUGGACAAUGGGCGCAAGCCUGAUCCAGCCAUACCGCGUGGGUGAAGAAGGCCUUCGGGCUGUAAAGCCCUUUUGUUGGGAAAGAAAAGCAGCAGGUUAAUACCCCGCUGUUCUGACGGUACCCAAAGAAUAAGCACCGGCUAACUUCGUG